Molecule: transfer RNA, 74 nt
Filed under: Caudoviricetes sp.
Lineage: Duplodnaviria; Heunggongvirae; Uroviricota; Caudoviricetes
Description: tRNA-Phe
Rfam family: tRNA
About the family: Transfer RNA (tRNA) molecules are approximately 80 nucleotides in length. Their secondary structure includes four short double-helical elements and three loops (D, anti-codon, and T loops). Further hydrogen bonds mediate the characteristic L-shaped molecular structure. tRNAs have two regions of fundamental functional importance: the anti-codon, which is responsible for specific mRNA codon recognition, and the 3' end, to which the tRNAs corresponding amino acid is attached (by aminoacyl-tRNA synthetases). tRNAs cope with the degeneracy of the genetic code in two manners: having more than one tRNA (with a specific anti-codon) for a particular amino acid; and 'wobble' base-pairing, i.e. permitting non-standard base-pairing at the 3rd anti-codon position.
Source: RNAcentral
ACUUGGAUAGCUCAGCGGUAGAGCAUUGGGUUGAAGCCCCAUGUGCCUUGGUUCGAUUCCAAGUCCAAGUACCA